Dromiciops gliroides (monito del monte) is the source of this 7319-nucleotide RNA transcript. It is a transcript of the gene named PRELI domain containing 3A, with no coding region annotated. The transcript has 7 exons. The record is from RefSeq and is a predicted model, not a curated record. NCBI's taxonomy places the organism in Eukaryota, Metazoa, Chordata, Mammalia, Microbiotheria, Microbiotheriidae.
CAGCCUCGCACAGUUGGACUGGUCCUGGGCAUAGAGGUGUCCCUCCGGGCUCCGAGGCUGCUGCCCUGCGCAGAGGCUGGGGAGCGCCUCUGAAGAUGAAGAUCUGGAGCUCCGAGCACGUGUUUGGCCACCCAUGGGACACUGUUAUCAAAGCUGCUAUGAGAAAAUAUCCGAAUCCAAUGAACCCUUGUGUAGUAGGAGUGGAUGUCCUAGACAGAUGCCUUGAUAACCGAGGCAGGUUACAUAGCCAUCGUCUUCUCAGCACUGAGUGGGGACUCCCAGCUCUUGUGAAAACGGUCUUGGGAACUAAUCGUACUUUGACAUAUAUCAAAGAGCAUUCUGUUGUAGAUCCGGUGGGAAAGAAAAUGGAGCUGUGUUCUACCAAUAUCACACUCACAAAUUUGGUGUUGGUGAAUGAGAGGUUGGUGUACACACCUCAUCCUGACAACCCUGAAAUGACAGUGCUGACACAUGAAGCAGUCAUCACUGUGAAGGGAUUUAGCUUAGGGAGCUACUUGGAAAGCCUAAUGGCAAACACUAUAUCAUCCAAUGCACGGAAGGGGUGGGCUGCUAUUGAGUGGAUAAUUCAAAAUUCUGAAAGUGCUGUAAGCUAACUGCAUCCACACCUACCAUUUGGGAUAAAUAGUGGUAACUACAGCAUUCAUUAACCAUGGGUCGAGAUGCCUUGGAAUGGGUGAUCAGCAGACUUAAUACAGAAUUUGAGGAACUAGCAGCACCACCUUGACAGAGCAUGCAACAUCAGCAGCAGCAGCAGCAGCCUCAAGAUGCCAGGGCUAUGUGGAACAUGCAGACGCCUAGAUAGGAUGGUGGGGGGCUGUUUUUCCCUACCUACUGCCAUCUUGGACUUAUUUGCAGUUUGUGCUCUACUUGGUUCAUUGGACCAUCAGCUAUUAAUACACACCUAGAAAAUGAUUGAGUUGAAUCAGGAAAGUAAUUAUAAAUGAGGCUGAGUUAACUGUAUGAUGGAUUUUGGUGGGGGUUGUGGGGAGGGUCAUUUUGUUUUCUGAGAAAAAUUAACCUUUUUCACCGAGUGAAUAAAUAUAAGUCUUUGACCUUUUUUUUCCUCUCCAGAGGGCGGAAAUAAUAUUAGUGAGGGGCUAGGAAGUUGAAAUUGGAAUUUCCAAAACUGUGACCAAAAAAGACACAUUUUCUGUGAUUCCCAAAGUUAGAAAAUGAGAAAGGGUAUACUUUCCUCACACUGUAACACUAAUAGUUCAUUAAAGUUUCUGUUUAGAUCUUUAAAAUUCACUGCAGUCAUAGACAGAGGUGCUUCCCUUGACUGAGAAAAGAAGAGAUUUCAUGGGCAACAACAGUGGUUUUGUUGUGUCAUAGACCCCUUUUGGCAGGCUGAAGAAGCCUAUAGAAGAAGAAUGUUUUUAAUGCAUCAAAUAAAAUAUUUAGGGUUACAAAGGAAACCAAUUAUAUUGAAAUACAUUUCUCAAAAAAAUUUUUUUUAAAGUUCAUGGACUCUCCAGGUUAAGAACACUAGGACUAGAAGAGCAUUGGCAAAGCACAACUGAACAUCGCUGCAGAUGGGUUAUAUUAUUGUAAGGUCUCUGCACCCACCCCUUAGAUGGCAAGUAUCUACCUGUCAGUACUUACUGUCCUUCCAUGAACCUGCAUUUAUGUUGCACAUACAGUAACCCCACUUAGUCGAUUUCAUUGCCUCACCCUAAAAGCAGGAUUUAGGGGGAAUUUAAGAGGUAGGUCUUGGCUAUAAUUACAAAAUUAAUAACUUGAAUAACAAAUUCUUAUUUUAAACUAGUAUUUGGAAAGAAUGGGAAUAUAUUUUCCUAAUUUAUGUUUAUUGUAACUAAUAUGACCAACUAAGUCGUUUGAGGUACUUUAUGGAGAAAUAGACUGUUUUUUCUUAUAUAAUCUUUUUUCUUGUUCUUUGUAUAAUGAAACACUUGGUUUUUAAAUUUUUCUUUACUUUUAUUUUUGAAGGGCAAUGAGGGUUAAGUGACUUGCCCAGGGUCACACAGCUAGUAUCAAGUGUCUGAGGCAAGAUUUGAACUCAGGUCCUCCUGACUCCAGGGCAGAUGCUUUAUCCACUGUGCCACCUAGCUGCCCCCAGAAAUAGACUGUUUUUGCUAAUAUAUCCUUCACUUUAACUUCAUGAUGUUUUUCCUGUCUCUCUGUCUGUCUUUCUGUCUCUGUUUCUGUUUCUGUCUCUCAUUAAAAAAAAAUAGGUUUCUCCACCUCUCCCAGGCUGGAAGUUCAGGGGCUUCUCAUGGGCCCAAUCCCUUUACAGAUUGACACAGGAGCUUUGACCUGCUCAGUUUCCAAUCUGGGCCACUUUGUCCUCUCUUUUUGUUGCUGUUUCGUUGUUUCGAGUUGUGUCUGCCUCUUCAGUGGUUUGCCAUUCCCUUAUGUGACAGAUGUGGAAGCUGAGGCAAACUGGGUUAUGUGACUUGCCUGCAGUCAGGAAGAACUCAAGUAUUCCUGAUUCCAGGCCCCGCGCUCUAUCCACUGUGCCACCUCACUUCUCUGGCUUCUGUUUAGGCAACCUAAUAAUCCCAUGGCUUUCGGGACUCACCAUAUCAAUAAAAAAUUUAGUGCAGAUAUCCAACAGGCAUAGCCUACCAUCAUUCAGAACUUCCAAGCUCAAGAGAUCUGCUAUCCUCAGCCCCCCUUGUAGCUGGGAUUGCAGGCAUGUUUGGUGUCAUAUUUCUUUCAAAACAUAGAAUACAGGCACAAGUAUUUUUGUCUUAGGUGCAUAGGGUUCCCCCUCCAAAAAAUAGAACACAGAAACAUGUUCCUGUAGAAGUGAUUUUGAUGGACCUGGUGUCAGGAAGUUAUAGAUUUAAAUUCUGCCAUAGACACUUACAAGCUCUUUGACUGUGGGAAAGUUAGUCAACCUUUCUGAGGUUCAGUUGCAUUAUACGAAAGAUGGGAAUAAUAAUAGCAUCUACCUCAUAGUCUGUUGCAAGGAUUACAUGUUGUGUUUAUGUGUAUAUGUGUGCACAUGUGUAUAUAAACACAUGUUCACCUAUGUAUGCACAAGUACAUGUGUAUACACAUGUAUUGUAAACCUGAAAGCAUUAUAUAUGUAUACUAAUACUAUAUUAUUAUUAUUGUUGUUAUUUUUAUUAUUAUUAUUAUUGUUAUUAUUCCACCCAUUGCACAUUGUUUUGCUCCUGGGGCCAAGCAGAGCAAAUCUAAUCUUUUUCUAUGUGACAGUUCUUUUAACACCUGAAGGAAACUAUCAUGUUUUUAUUUAAGUCUUCCUCUCUCUGGGGUAACAGCCCCAGCAUGUGUGUGUGAGUGUAUACACACACACAGACACACACACAUUUACCCUCUUCCAAACAAUCUCCAGUUUAUCAGUGUCCUUCCUAAAAUGUGGAACCCCAAAUGGAACAUAGUAUUCCAGAUGUGUUCUGACAAGGGCCACUAUCUUCCUAGUCCUAGAACUUGUGCUUUUCUUUCUUGCUUGCUUUCUUUUUUUUGGUGGGGCAUUGAGGGUUAAGUGACUUGCCCAAGGUCACACAGCUAGGAAGUGUCAAGCAUCUGAGGCCAGAUUUGAACUCAGGUCCUCCUGACUCCAGGGUCCGUGCUUUAUCCACUUCGCCACCCAGCUGCCCCACUACUUGUGCUUUUCUUAAUGUGGCCUAUGAUUACAUUAGCUUUCCUGGCUACAUCACACUGUUGACAAAUUUUGACCUGGCAGUCUGCUAAAACCCUAGCUUUUUUGCUGAUGAAUUUUCUGAUGCCUCCCCCAACUUAUAUUUGUGAAUUUGGCUUUUUUAAAAAACCUAAAUACAAGCCUAUACCUUUGUCCUAAUUUUUUUUUUUUUUGGAUUCAGUGAUUCAGUCCAAAGUUUUUGCCAAGAUCUUUGGGGAUCCUGGCUCUCUCAAUUAGUGUGUUAGCUAUCCUCAGUUUUUGUUGUUACUUUCAAAUUGGAUAAGCUUUCCAUCUAUGCCUUUAUCUAAAUUUGUUUUUAAAGAAAAGUCAUCCCACAGAUAGAUCCCAGUGCCCUCCACUACAGUAGACACCUCAUUCUGGUCAACAUUGACCCAUUUGUGGCUACUCUUUGGGAACUUCUAUAUAGAGCACUGUUUCUAGACAUCACAAGAAGUACAGAAGAAACUGAACAUUAAUUUUGCUGUCUAAAAACUUUGAUUAAAGGGGGAUAUAGAAAAGACAUAGAGCAAUCGAUUAUCUUUUUAAAGAACACUAUGUGAAUAGUCAUAAAUUAGAGUUUAAACUUAAUACAUAAAUACUGAGGAGAAAGAUGGAAACCUAGGACCCAGAUGAACUGAAUUUUAUGCCAGGCAUUGAGAAAGAGGGUCAGAUAUGGAAGGCAUUGAUAACCUAAUGUAAAACUACCCCUUCAUUCUAGUAAAUUGUUCUUAAGUUACCAAUUUACUUUUUUUAUCUACAGAGGGGUUGAUAAAAUGAUAUUUUUAAAAAUUCAUAUACACAAGGAAUAACUAUACAAAAUAAUAUUUGAACUUAUUGAAAACCAAAGAAGAGUUGAUAGUGUAUAGCACAAAGUUGAACACAGAUAGAUAAAUCUGUGUUUAGAUAUGAACUACAGAUGAUGAAAUCUUCCAUACAGUUUUCUUUUUUUUGGGGGGGGGGGUGAGGCAAUUGGGGUUAAGUGACUUGUCCAGGGUCACACAGCUAGUAAGUGUUAAGUGUCUGAGGCCAGAUUUGAACUCAGGUCCUCCUGAAUCCAGGGCCAGUGCUUUAUCCACUGUGCCACCUAGCUGCCCCCCCCCAUACAGUUUUCUUUAUGUCAACAGUUCUGAAUUUUAGUUAGGAGGAGUGAAUUUAGUUGUAUUUGGAAUCUAUUUGGACUUUCUUGGUCAUAUUAAAACCUAAGACUUUGUGUCAAAAUUUCUUCAAGGAUAACUCACUUUAUAAUAGAAGAGAUACCAAUGAUAGUGAAACUACUACAGAAUUUUGAAAUGUGAAAGUCCUUUGUGGAGAUUGUUUGAAUUAUUCUAAUUUUUGAAGCAGUGAAAACAUUACUUAAAGUAGUUCAGGAUUUCUAUUUCGUUUCCUUUUGGGGGGGGGGCAGCAGCUGAUAACAAGUAGGGAUAUGAGUGGACUAUAUCAAAACCCUAAUUACCCAAUCAGUGAAACUUGAAGAGCUAAAAAUGAAAGAUUGGCAUUGAAGAAUGGACCUUUAAACUCCAAGUGCCCAUGAGGGUGGAAUCUAAAUUGAUUUGGGAGGUUCUGGGGCAGAAUACAUUGUUCUCUUGGGGUCAUGGUAAUUAAGGUCAUGGGCCAAGUCAAGCCUAUGGAAUUAUAGCUAGAUGGAAUAGUUUAGGGAAUUUAAGUAUCAUCUCUAGUCUGAGACUAGAUAGUUUCCUUUUGUGUGUUGUAUUUAUAGGACUCUGUUGCCUGUAAAUUCCAUGAGGAAAGGGACUGUAUAGCAGCUAAAGUGUUCAAAGGCAUGAAUUGGAUUUCCAACAUUUUUGUGAGUCCAACAUUGGGUACAUAGUGGGCAUUUAGAUACAUGAUGAAUGUAUAAUCAAAUUAUAUUAGCAGCUCACUGGAAAGGAUGUUGUAAUUUAAUCAUUAAUAACUACAUAACAACACAGAAUCUCCGAUUAUCAUCAGAAAAUGUCUUCAUAUGUCAUGCUUUUAUUGACCAGACUGUUCUUAAAGUGAAGUAAGCAUGUCAAAUGCUAGUUUAAUUGCAUUUUAAAUAUUCCACUUUAUUUGGUAUAUGUGCCCUAAUCUAAUUUUUGUGGCCAUAUUAAGUACUUGUCUUUUUAUAGACAACCAAAAAUAUAUUAGUUCAAUAACCUAAAGAAUACUUUGUGGGGCGGCUAGGUGGCGUAGUGGAUAAUGCACCCGCCCUGGAGUCAGGAGUACCUGAGUUCAAAUCCGACCUCAGACACUUGACACUUACUAGCUGUGUGACCCUGGGCAAGUCACUUAACACCCAUUGCCCCGCAAACAAAAAAAGAAUACUUUGUGCAUUUACAUAGCAGCCUCAAUUAUAGUUUCCAGAGAGUUUUUGGAAAUCUAAUUGUUGAUUUAAAAAUUGAGAUCAAUGAUUCAGAGAGGAAGAGAUAUAUAUGGUAACAUCAAUGAGUGUAAACUCAGGAGAUUGAUGAUUGUAAUCUUUAGGAGUAUGUGUGAAACAAAACCUGAGCAGUAGAGAUUUAUUUAUGAGGCCAUAAUACUUGAAGAUGUUGAUGGGGUGAGCCCCUGAACCAAGCAACUUUAGAAUGUAACUCUGAUAUAUGUACACAUAUAAAUAUAUGGGUGAAUGUGUAUAUGUGUAUAUGUAUACAUACGUAUGUAUAUAUAUAUAUAUAGAGAGAGAGAGAGAGAGAGAAAGAUGCAAUAAAAUGUUGAAUUUUAGCUUUGUACUCAGAAAUAACUGCAUUAACUCAGUACUUUUAAAGGUGGUUAAUAAAAGGAUAACCAUUCUCAGACAGUGUAGUUUUAAGACUCUUUUGACUAUAGCAUCUCUAUAUAUUUUUAAAUUACCUUCAAUACUGACCCAAUAUGAGUGUGUUUAAAGGCACUCACUGAUUGAAUUUUGAGAUUUCUUUCUUGGUAAGAUCAGGAUAUAAAGAAGCUGAUUUAUCUAGCAUUUUAUCCACUGAAAAUCUCUGUUAGCUGACUGCUUCAACAUUUUGUCAAUACUGAUAACCAAUUCAAUUCGAUUAAAUUCAUAUGCAUAGUAGCCAUAUUUUAUGAACCAGACAUUGUGGCACAAGACCAAACAACUUUGCUUUGCUGUCAUUAUUGCUUAAGUCUUUAUGUUAAAACUCACAGUGAGGUUUUACUUCAUUUUCCUAUUGAAAACCUGGGAUGGGGAAAAGACAACAACAAUGACGUGUGUGCCCUCCCUUUAAAAAUUUUCCUUUUAUUUAUGCAUGCUUAUACACAUGCAUGUUAUUUCAGCUGACAGAAUGCUAGCUCUUUAAGUACAAGGUCUGUUUCUUUUAUGUCUUCUUACCCCUGUUGCCUAGCAGAAUGUCUCAUACUUAGUUUGUUCUACUAAAUGUUUAUUGAUUGAUUGAUAAUUGAUAUGAUUAAUUUCUUCACCAAAUAUAGAUAAAAGUUCUGCCAUAAUAUGUCAUUAUAGGUAAUUCUCGUUCAUGCUUUUCUGGAGCCCUUCCAUGGAGGAUCCAUUUAACACACAGGAUUACUAGUUUUUUUCAUAUUUGGGGGACAAUAACAUUGUCCUUAGACUAUACAUCUAAUAUUCCUCAAUCUCAAUGUGUUACUGUCCUGCCCCCUUUUUGGCCAUAGUCUUUUUUUUUUAAUUAAUAAAGUAUUUUAUUUUUUUCCGUUACAUAUAAAGAUAGUUCUCAACUUUUGU